Molecule: long non-coding RNA, 939 nt
Filed under: Mus musculus (house mouse)
Lineage: Eukaryota; Metazoa; Chordata; Mammalia; Rodentia; Muridae
Description: long non-coding RNA chr2:176135508-176136447
Source: RNAcentral
GGUUUUCGGGUCCUGUCGCGCUUCUCACUACUGGAUUGUACAUAGCACAUAUGUACAUUGUUUAACAUUUUUAAAAUUCAGAUAUAUAAGUAACGUCUAUUUGCCAUAACUGAGUAGGUACCAGUCCUAGAGGAUUAACUCCUAGAGGAUUAACACCUUUGUGUGAUACAGGAAGAAAUUGAGGACACUGAUGAAAGUCUUUACAAUUUGACAUGCACAUUCUCAAGAAAUACCAAAUUGUUGUCUCAACCUAUUGCUUUUUAAUGAUGUAAAGAAAGAGAGUGUUUGGCUGAACUAUUCCUGUGUAAUGCCUAUACUCUGCCUGAUAUGCAAACCUGCUGCAGCAUUGCCCUCAUUAAGGGGUCUGGGCAAUCCACUAGGAGCUUUUAAAUGUAAGGUGUAUGCCACCACUGCCAGGUUGAUGCUCUAUUUUGCCCCUGACAACCAUAUAAAAGCUUGCCGAACAGGCACGCGGGUCACCACCUCUCCUUAGGGUCUGGGAUGACCCCAGUUUAGUGGAACAAUAAAUUCCUCUUGCUUUUUCCAUUGAUUCCAGCCCCACAUGGUUCACUCACAGGUCCCCAGUAAGCUAAGGCUCCCGGGAGUCUUACAACCCAACAAGAAGACCAACAGUCUCAAGAAACCUUGACCUUGGAAAUCUCUCAGACUCUGAGCCAGCAACCAGGCAGCAUACACUUGUUGGUCCAAGGUCCCCAACAUAUAUACAGAGGAGAACUGCCUGGCCCGGACUCAGGGAGGGAAGACACACCUAAUCCUUGAGAGACUUGAAGUCCCAAGGAUUGGGGAGGCCUGGCAGGAUGUUGUUGAAUGGUUGUGGGUGUGAGGACACCCUCAUGGAGAUGUACAUAGGGGUCGGGAUAUGGGAUGAGAAACUGUAAGUGGUUGGAAUGGGGGGGUGAUAAUGACUGGAGUAUAAUU